Long non-coding RNA from Linepithema humile (Argentine ant), 511 nucleotides. RefSeq lists it as uncharacterized. The record is from RefSeq and is a predicted model, not a curated record. NCBI's taxonomy places the organism in Eukaryota, Metazoa, Arthropoda, Insecta, Hymenoptera, Formicidae.
CUGAGUGACUUUUGUUUAUGGGUGUGUUUCUUUCUAGCUUUCAAUAGUGUCGCAUUUGUUUUAUCAUCACGGCAACUUAACUCUCAGUUAUACCAGCCGUAAUUCGCUCUUGUCUAGUUUAUGUGGUCCGUUGAAAUAACAAUUAAGUCUGCCCAAACUAGUAUCAAUUGCAAUAAAUCGUACAAGACUAGUGUCAAUCGGUGGUGAAAAUCAACGUUGUUGUGUGAUGAGCAUGUUACGAUUUCUAUUAACGAACAAAUUAGCAACGCACUUUAAUUGGGCUGGACGGAAAAAGAUUGCUUUUAAAGGAAAAAGACUUAUGAGCGUUAUUUACGCAAGUGCCAAACUAGCCUUCAAUGAGAUAAGUGGGCCAUAUACGGGAGAUAAGAUUAUUGAAAGCGCUGUAAAGGACUGGUUGAAGUUAGCAAAUAAUCGGUUAAGUUAUUCUAUUACUAAGAAAAAUAUUUAAUUAUUUUCAUGAUCUCUUAUGUAUUUUUCAUAUUUUAUUUAA